GAUGAAGAACGUAGUGAAAUGCGAUAAGUAAUGUGAAUUGCAGAAUUCAGUGAAUCAUCGAAUCUUUGAACGCACCUUGCGCCCUUUGGCUAUUCCGAAGGGCAUGCCUGUUUGAGUAUCAUGAACACCUCAACUCUUUAUGAUUUUCCAUGAAGGGCUUGGACUUUGGGGGUCUUGCUGGCCUUUAGUCAGCUCCUCUCAAACGAAUCAGCUUUCCAGUGUUUGGCAGCGUCACAGGUGUGAUAACUAUCUACGCUUGUGGUUUUCUGCCAGGUAAUCCUCAGUGAUGGGGAUUCGCUGGGGCUUAUAAAUGUCUCUCCUCAGCGAAGACAGCUUUGUGAACGUUUGAUCUCAAAUCAGGUAGGACUACCCGCUGAACUUAAGCAUAUCAAUAAGCGGAGGA
This 403-nucleotide unclassified non-coding RNA is filed under the name soil metagenome. RNAcentral describes it as "partial contains 5.8S ribosomal RNA, internal transcribed spacer 2, and large subunit ribosomal RNA". The stretch from base 1 to 121 matches the Rfam family "5.8S ribosomal RNA", at positions 35 to 154 of the family's 154-position model. The record is from RNAcentral.